UGGCUGUUCCUAAUGGUUCCCUUGGUCACCUCUUCUUCCUGUCCUAUAUUAUCCUGUGUUUCAUUAAGUAAGUUUCACACUUAAGCGCCCCAAGUGUAUGCAUAUUUUUAUUCUCUUCAGCAGGAGCCAUAAUUCUCAACCGAUUCUCAAAUGGGGACUCUACCUCCC
Molecule: long non-coding RNA, 168 nt
Organism: Leopardus geoffroyi (Geoffroy's cat)
Lineage: Eukaryota; Metazoa; Chordata; Mammalia; Carnivora; Felidae
Exons: 2
Source: RefSeq, a predicted model, not a curated record